CACUUUACACUCCCAUUCUGAUUCUGGUCCCACUGAAAAUCACACCAAGAAAUGGACUGGGACCAAAUCAAACCAAAUCAAACAUGAAAUUCAUGGUCCCACUGGCCAGCCUACAUACUUCACACUUAUAUAGUUUCUAACAAUUCUUCUGUAUAGCUUAUAAAGUUCUUUCACUUCAUACUUCAUUGUAAAGCAGCUUCUGAUAUUCUUUCAUCUCAAUCUCUUUUCUAUAAGAACUCUCUUUAUAUAAUCUUUUCUUCUGAUCUCUUUUCUCUUUCUUUUCUUAAUCAAUUCAUAAUCUGUAUUUAGAAUAGUACUAAAUCAUU
Molecule: small RNA, 326 nt
Filed under: Histoplasma ohiense
Lineage: Eukaryota; Fungi; Ascomycota; Eurotiomycetes; Onygenales; Ajellomycetaceae
Description: hypothetical lncRNA
Source: RNAcentral